CCAGACGGUCGGACGGUCGCUGUUAUGCGCUUUUGUGCAUGAUGGAGGAAAGUCCGGGCUCCACGGGAAGAACGGUGCCGGUUAACGGCCGGCGAGGGCGACCUCAGGGAAAGUGCCACAGAAAACAGACCGCCUUCCGGGUUCCUGCCAUGGGAAACCAUGGGACGGGCUGAAGGUAAGGGUGAAACGGUGCGGUAAGAGCGCACCGCUCCGCUGGUAACAGGGGAGGCACGGCAAACCCCACCGGGAGCAAGACCGAAUAGGAACGGCAGAAACUUUCGGGUUUCGGGGGUUCUCCCGCCCCGUCGUUCGGGUUGGUCGCGUGAGGCAUGUUGCAAGACAUGUCCCAGAGGAAUGAUCGUCCAGGCCCUUUUGGGCUAGACAGAACCCGGCUUACAGACCGUCUGGCAUU
This 412-nucleotide RNase P RNA is filed under the name Acetobacter lambici. RNAcentral's name for it is "RNase P RNA component class A". It matches the Rfam family "Bacterial RNase P class A". From Rfam's summary of the family: Ribonuclease P (RNase P) is a ubiquitous endoribonuclease, found in archaea, bacteria and eukarya as well as chloroplasts and mitochondria. The record is from RNAcentral. Lineage: Bacteria; Pseudomonadati; Pseudomonadota; Alphaproteobacteria; Acetobacterales; Acetobacteraceae.